Molecule: long non-coding RNA, 864 nt
Organism: Pogoniulus pusillus (Red-fronted tinkerbird)
Lineage: Eukaryota; Metazoa; Chordata; Aves; Piciformes; Lybiidae
Exons: 4
Source: RefSeq, a predicted model, not a curated record
CUGGAAGAAACCCAGUGUCCCAGGAGAAGGUGGCCUUGUGCCCAGGAAUGUGGUGGUUUCCAUGGCAAUAAAUGAAGAUGGGCUGUCUAGGGCUAAAUCUGAUCCCAGCAAGCUCCAAAGGUUGCCAAGUGAUUCUCUGCAUAGGAAGAACAUUGGCUUUUGAGAAGAAAGCUGGUUCUAGUUUGACUUGCCCAGUAUCUAAGUGGAUACUUCUCUCCUGCAUAGGUCCACACAGAAAAAAAGCUUACCAUGAUGACCUGGUGGCCCAUUUUUAUCAUCCAGAGACACCAUAAGCAUGGAGCACUUCUCAAGCCGUGCACAUAAACAACCAGGCAGCAGAGUCCCCAUCCUUUGCUGAUGCCAUUUUUGGUGUUUGUGCCUUCCCUAGCCAGCCCCGAGCCUUCCAUUCCUACCCAGGAGAUGCACUCUCUAAAGCUCUUUGACUUGGGUUUGUAGUGACAGCUUUUUUUUGUGGGGUGAAACCCUUCAUAUAACUUAGCACAGCAGCCUCUGUAUGUUCACAUUUCCUUGGGCUAACAAUCUGUGACUUUUUCUGAGAGAAGGGUUCUAUGCAUCAGGUUCUGGAAAGCUCUUUCACACAGCUAUAACUCUGAAGAGCUUUUGUCUUUCUCUGGAAGAAAACCUUUGAAAACAGCUGCUGUGUCCAUUUGAAGGAGAAGAGCUUAGGUAAACCAUCUAUGAAAAGGCAGAAGUGUGGCAAGUUGAAAUAACAUCUCUGGACAUUAAGAAAAAAACCAGACAUUUGGACUGUGCAUGGUGUGGAGCUCUGUGAGGGAUGAGCAGGUUGUUGUUUUCAUCAGAUGGACUGAUCAGUUCAAAAGUAUUGCCAUUGGCUUGUCCAAU